This 72-nucleotide transfer RNA is filed under the name Ictidomys tridecemlineatus (thirteen-lined ground squirrel). Its description in RNAcentral is "Spermophilus tridecemlineatus (thirteen-lined ground squirrel) tRNA". It matches the Rfam family "tRNA". Rfam says of the family: Transfer RNA (tRNA) molecules are approximately 80 nucleotides in length. Their secondary structure includes four short double-helical elements and three loops (D, anti-codon, and T loops). Further hydrogen bonds mediate the characteristic L-shaped molecular structure. tRNAs have two regions of fundamental functional importance: the anti-codon, which is responsible for specific mRNA codon recognition, and the 3' end, to which the tRNAs corresponding amino acid is attached (by aminoacyl-tRNA synthetases). tRNAs cope with the degeneracy of the genetic code in two manners: having more than one tRNA (with a specific anti-codon) for a particular amino acid; and 'wobble' base-pairing, i.e. permitting non-standard base-pairing at the 3rd anti-codon position. The record is from Rfam by way of RNAcentral. Lineage: Eukaryota; Metazoa; Chordata; Mammalia; Rodentia; Sciuridae.
GGGGAUGUAGCACAAUGGUAAAGCACUUGCCUAGCAUGCAUGAGGCUCUGGGUUGGACCCUUAGCAUUGCCA